GUGGUAUCCUGUCUGAAUAUGGGGGGACCAUCCUCCAAGGCUAAAUACUCCUGACUGACCGAUAGUGAACCAGUACCGUGAGGGAAAGGCGAAAAGAACCCCGGCGAGGGGAGUGAAAAAGAACCUGAAACCGUGUACGUACAAGCAGUGGGAGCACAGAGCAAUCUGUGUGACUGCGUACCUUUUGUAUAAUGGGUCAGCGACUUAUAUUCUGUAGCAAGGUUAACCGAAUAGGGGAGCCGAAGGGAAACCGAGUCUUAACUGGGCGUUAAGUUGCAGGGUAUAGACCCGAAACCCGGUGAUCUAGCCAUGGGCAGGUUGAAGGUUGGGUAACACUAACUGGAGGACCGAACCGACUAAUGUUGAAAAAUUAGCGGAUGACUUGUGGCUGGGGGUGAAAGGCCAAUCAAACCGGGAGAUAGCUGGUUCUCCCCGAAAGCUAUUUAGGUAGCGCCUCGUGAAUUCAUCUCCGGGGGUAGAGCACUGUUUCGGCAAGGGGGUCAUCCCGACUUACCAACCCGAUGCAAACUGCGAAUACCGGAGAAUGUUAUCACGGGAGACACACGGCGGGUGCUAACGUCCGUCGUGAAGAGGGAAACAACCCAGACCGCCAGCUAAGGUCCCAAAGUCAUGGUUAAGUGGGAAACGAUGUGGGAAGGCCCAGACAGCCAGGAUGUUGGCUUAGAAGCAGCCAUCAUUUAAAGAAAGCGUAAUAGCUCACUGGUCGAGUCGGCCUGCGCGGAAGAUGUAACGGGGCUAAACCAUGCACCGAAGCUGCGGCAGCGACACUGUGUGUUGUUGGGUAGGGGAGCGUUCUGUAAGCCUGUGAAGGUGUGCUGUGAGGCAUGCUGGAGGUAUCAGAAGUGCGAAUGCUGACAUAAGUAACGAUAAAGCGGGUGAAAAGCCCGCUCGCCGGAAGACCAAGGGUUCCUGUCCAACGUUAAUCGGGGCAGGGUGAGUCGACCCCUAAGGCGAGGCCGAAAGGCGUAGUCGAUGGGAAACAGGUUAAUAUUCCUGUACUUGGUGUUACUGCGAAGGGGGGACGGAGAAGGCUAUGUUGGCCGGGCGACGGUUGUCCCGGUUUAAGCGUGUAGGCUGGUUUUCCAGGCAAAUCCGGAAAAUCAAGGCUGAGGCGUGAUGACGAGGCACUACGGUGCUGAAGCAACAAAUGCCCUGCUUCCAGGAAAAGCCUCUAAGCAUCAGGUAACAUCAAAUCGUACCCCAAACCGACACAGGUGGUCAGGUAGAGAAUACCAAGGCGCUUGAGAGAACUCGGGUGAAGGAACUAGGCAAAAUGGUGCCGUAACUUCGGGAGAAGGCACGCUGAUAUGUAGGUGAAGUCCCUCGCGGAUGGAGCUGAAAUCAGUCGAAGAUACCAGCUGGCUGCAACUGUUUAUUAAAAACACAGCACUGUGCAAACACGAAAGUGGACGUAUACGGUGUGACGCCUGCCCGGUGCCGGAAGGUUAAUUGAUGGGGUCAGCGCAAGCGAAGCUCUUGAUCGAAGCCCCGGUAAACGGCGGCCGUAACUAUAACGGUCCUAAGGUAGCGAAAUUCCUUGUCGGGUAAGUUCCGACCUGCACGAAUGGCGUAAUGAUGGCCAGGCUGUCUCCACCCGAGACUCAGUGAAAUUGAACUCGCUGUGAAGAUGCAGUGUACCCGCGGCAAGACGGAAAGACCCCGUGAACCUUUACUAUAGCUUGACACUGAACAUUGAGCCUUGAUGUGUAGGAUAGGUGGGAGGCUUUGAAGUGUGGACGCCAGUCUGCAUGGAGCCGACCUUGAAAUACCACCCUUUAAUGUUUGAUGUUCUAACGUGGACCCGUGAUCCGGGUUGCGGACAGUGUCUGGUGGGUAGUUUGACUGGGGCGGUCUCCUCCUAAAGAGUAACGGAGGAGCACGAAGGUUGGCUAAUCCUGGUCGGACAUCAGGAGGUUAGUGCAAUGGCAUAAGCCAGCUUGACUGCGAGCGUGACGGCGCGAGCAGGUGCGAAAGCAGGUCAUAGUGAUCCGGUGGUUCUGAAUGGAAGGGCCAUCGCUCAACGGAUAAAAGGUACUCCGGGGAUAACAGGCUGAUACCGCCCAAGAGUUCAUAUCGACGGCGGUGUUUGGCACCUCGAUGUCGGCUCAUCACAUCCUGGGGCUGAAGUAGGUCCCAAGGGUAUGGCUGUUCGCCAUUUAAAGUGGUACGCGAGCUGGGUUUAGAACGUCGUGAGACAGUUCGGUCCCUAUCUGCCGUGGGCGCUGGAGAACUGAGGGGGGCUGCUCCUAGUACGAGAGGACCGGAGUGGACGCAUCACUGGUGUUCGGGUUGUCAUGCCAAUGGCACUGCCCGGUAGCUAAAUGCGGAAGAGAUAAGUGCUGAAAGCAUCUAAGCACGAAACUUGCCCCGAGAUGAGUUCUCCCUGACCCUUUAAGGGUCCUGAAGGAACGUUGAAGACGACGACGUUGAUAGGCCGGGUGUGUAAGCGCAGCGAUGCGUUGAGCUAACCGGUACUAAUGAACCGUGAGGCUUAACCUU
RNAcentral lists this ribosomal RNA (2520 nucleotides) under Escherichia coli. RNAcentral describes it as "partial 23S ribosomal RNA". It matches the Rfam family "Bacterial large subunit ribosomal RNA", at positions 426 to 2925 of the family's 2925-position model. Lineage: Bacteria; Pseudomonadati; Pseudomonadota; Gammaproteobacteria; Enterobacterales; Enterobacteriaceae. The record is from RNAcentral.